UCGAAGAUUGUUUUAAUCGGAAAUCGUACUCAUGCUCUCUAAAAUAAUUCGUCCUUAUAGCAGAACUCAUUAGCCACUUGAAUUAUUUGAGUUCAUUUACUAAAUCUAAUUAUUAAGUACAUGAGUUUAUUGAGGCAAUUUAGAAAUUAAUAAUAGUAGAGCUCUUAUUCAUAUAUAUGUUCUUGCUCCUUUUACAUCCACCUUAUUGUCUUGGCAACAUAUAGCAAUGUAAACAAAGGUUUGAAAUUAGAUGCUAAUUAAAAACCUAAAAUCCUUUGCUUUAUUUAAACUAUAUAAUAUAUUACUCUCUCUGUCCCAAAAUAUAAGCAAAAAGUGGUCAACGAAAGUUGAUGAAUUUGGUUUAAAAUUUAGUCCAAAUACAUUCACUUUUGUUGACCCCUUUUUGCUUAUAUUUUGGGACAGAGGAGUACUUAAUAGGCAUAUAUUUAAUGCUAUCGUACUUUGGGCAUCAUCUUCUGGAGUACUUUGGGCAUUAACUUGGUGUCUCCUAUGGAGACUAAUAAACCGUUGGCUUCUCAACUUAUGGCGUAUAAGUUGGUUUCUCAGCUGAUGGCUUGUAGACAGACGGCUUCUCAACCGGUGGUUUGUCAACUGGUCCCCUAGAGGUAGGUGAUGAUUUCCGNNNNNNNNNNNNNNNNNNNNNNNNNNNNNNNNNNNNNNNNNNNNNNNCCUGUGAAGGCGAGUAUCCGGCCGGUAACUUCUCAGUUGGUAGUCUAUAGGGUGGAUGACCAGGGCCGGAAUACUGAGGGGGAAUUGGCCCAUACCCAUACUGUGAAAGCCCAUGAGGAAUAACAAUUAGAGCAACAAGGAGAAACACUAAGAAGCUAAAGGAAGCCAUAUCUUAGUGAUUUUAAUUUGUGAGUUUGGUGUAUAAACACAAGAGUGAUAAGCUUCUUUUAUACUAGUCUUGGUCUUUGUAAGUCCACUCAUUUACUGUGAAUUAUUUUCCACAUUGAUACAAGUGAUUUUGUUUCAUAAGAUUGUGAUGUUUCAAAUUAUAUGCCACUUGGAGUGGACAAGUCACAUCAUGGCAAAAUUGUUUCAUGAAAAUUACUUGAAUGGGUGUCAAGAGUUUGAUUAUAAGAUGUGAUCAUACUCACAUAAUUAUUUUAAAACAUAUUAUUUAAUAUUUUUUUUCUUUCUAUUUCUACUAAUUUUGUGUGGAUAGCCAAAUUUUGUGACCGAACUCUUGUAACCACAUACACUACUAGAAAUUUGCGAUUUUUCGAUGGAAAAUAAUCCGCAAGUAUUUCUAAGGAUUUUCUUGCGGAUUUUGCCACUAGGAAGUAAUUUCUUGCGGAUUUGGCAAUUUCAGGAAAAUCCACAAGUAUUCUCAAGGAUUUUCCUCCCAAUUUCGUCACUAAAGUAAUUUCCUGCAGAUCUGGAGUUUUCUGUGUUAUUGAGACCCACAAAAAUUAACGGUAUUUAAUAAAAAUUCAUAAACUGUUAAUCUUGGUGGGUUUCAAUAACAUAUCAAAUGUUUUUUUAAUUUCUUUAAAACUUUGUGUGAAUAAUCUAUAUGAUAUAAUUUGUCGGCUAAUUCAUUAGAGGUUUUGCUAAAUUCAUUUGGCAUGGUAAUGCAUAUAUAGUGGAAUUGUGGGGAGGGUUUGAAGGGCUCAAAUAUGCUAGAAGGUUUAAUUUUCAUUGUGCGGAACUACAUGUUGAUUCUAGGGCUCAAAUAGCUAGCAGUAGUGGAAGGACUUUAGUUGAUAAGAUUUGACGCUUAAUAAUAUAGCUUUAGAUUGAGAGGUUGCGGUUCACCUCGUAUUGUGAAGUAAAUCAAUGUGUAUAUGCUCAAGCCAAUAUGGGUUGUAACAUAGAGGAUGAAUGUGUUUUCUUUGAUAUAUAUCCGACUGGCAUUAACCAUGUAUUUCUAGCUAAUGUUUUGGAGAUAACUACCGCUCGUAUGGUGUUGUAAUAAUCUUUUUUUUUUCUAGGCUUAAACCCUCAUUAUUAAAAAAAAAUGUCAGCAAAUUAAUUCAUCCACCAAAAUAUAUCUCUUUAGAAAACAUCGAUCUAAAAAUCAAUUACUCUCUUAAUUGAUGCAUCAGACAACUUUUUUUUUUUUUGACAAAAUGCAUCGGACAACUUUAAAGCUUUGAAAGUUGUNNNNNNNNNNNNNNNNNNNNNNNNAAUUAAAAAAAUUAGCUAAAUUGACUGUCGUUUUUUUUUUUUGGUAGAGACUGCCGUUUUUUAAUUUAAGAGAUUAUAUAUUGUCAUUUUGCUUAUUUGAGUGAAUAUAAUUUGUCCACCUUAUAAUUGUAAAGAGCAAAAUAAUUAUUCACUCUUAAGAGGCAUAAGAGUGAAUGCUACUUUUUGCCAAAUUUUCUUAUCAAAGUUAUUUUCCCAGUUGAAACUAAGCAACCACCGAGUCAAUUAUCAGUGUGUCAUCAUGUCAAAAAAUUCCAACUAAGUUGAGGUUUUUGUAGUAAAUUCUAAAUUCAAACAUAAAUUUUUGUAAAAAAAUAAACUUAAACAUAAAUUAAUUAGUCUUAAUGUCUGCCUCUCAAGACUGAAUUUUCAUGCACCUUACUAAUAUGACAGGGAAUUAACGUACAAGAGUAUGAUGAGUAGUCAACCAAGACAAAAUCAAAAGUACUUAUAAUUCAUAAUUUGGAGUACAAAGACACCAUUUUCUUUCACUGUAUUACACUCACAUUCUUGUAUUGGCCAUAGCAAUGAAAACAAGUGAUCGAAAUAAAGAUUCCAAGAAUAUAUAAUCCUUGCUUUGAAAACUAUAUAUUUCUUAUUUAACCAUCUUUACUUAGCAUAGCAUGUUCUAAAAACGAGUAGCAUCAUCAGCUGGAGGGUACUUUGGGUGGUGAGGAGGCUCCUCGAAUGGAGGUUUGUAAAGUGGUGGUUUCUCAAAUGGAGGUUUGUAAAGUGGUGGUUUCUCGUAUGGAGGCUUGUAAAUGGGCGGAUUUUCGAACGGAGGUUUGUAAAAUGGUGGCUCCUCAAUGGNNNNNNNNNNNNNNNNNNNNNNNNNNNNNNNNNNNNNNAAAUGGAGGCUUGUAAAUUGGCGGCUUCUCGAAAGGAGGCUUGUAAAUCGGUGGAUUCUCAAUUGGGGGUUUGUACAUUGGCGGCUUCUCUACAGGUGGCUUGUAUACUGGUGGUUUUUCUACAGGUGGCUUGUAAACUGGGGGUGUCUCAACUGGUGGCUUGUAGAAUGGUGGUUUUUCUGUUGGUGGCUUGUAAACUGGUGGUUUCUCAACCGGUGGCUUAUACACUGGUGGUUUCUCUACUGGUGGCUUGUAAGUAGGUGGUUUGUAUGCAGGUGGUUGUUCAACUGGUGGCUUGUAAAUUGGUGGUUUUUCUACUGGUGGCUUGUACACUGGUGGUUUCUCUACUGGUGGUUUAUAAACAGGGGGUUGUUGAACAGGUGGCUUAUACAAAGGUGGUUUCUCAAUUGGUGGCUUGUAAAUUGGUGGCUUUUCUACUGGUGGCUUGUAUGCUGGUGGUUUCUCUACCGGUGGUUUAUAAGUCGGAGGCUUUUCAAUUGGAGGUUUGUAAAUAGGUGGUUUUUCUAUUGGUGGAUUGUAAACUGGUGGCUUCUCGAAUGGAGGCUUGUAAAUCGGUGGUUCCUCAAAUGGCGGCUUAUAAAUUGGUGGCUCUUCGAACGGAGGUUUGUAAACAGGUGGUUUCUCAUACGGAGGCUUGUAAAUUGGUGGCACCUCAAAUGGCGGCUUAUAAAUUGGUGGUUUCUCAAACGGAGGCUUGUAAAUUGGUGGCUCCUCAAAUGGAGGUUUAUGAACUGGUGGCUCCUCGAAUGGUGGCUUAUAAAUUGGUGGUGUCUCAAAUGGAGGUUUGUAAAUCGGUGGCUUCUCCAACGGUGGCUUGUAAAUUGGAGGGUUCUCAACAGGAGGCUUGUACACAGGUGGCUUCUCUACAGGUGGCUUGUACACAGGUGGAUUUUCUACAGGUGGUUUGUAAGUCGGAGGUUUCUCAAUUGGUGGUUUGUAGAUAGGUGGUUUUUCUAUUGGUGGCUUGUAAAUCGGAGGGUGCUCAACUGGUGGCUUAUAUACAGGUGGCUGAUAAAUUGGGGGUUUUUCAACUGGUGGCUUAUACACAGGUGGUUGGUAAAUUGGAGGCUUCUCAAUUGGUGGCUUGUACACUGGCGGUGUCUCUAUCGGUGGCUGAUAAACCGGAGGUUUCUCAACUGGUGGAUUAUACUCAGGAGGUUUCUCAUAGUUGGCAAGCCCUUGAGGUAUUGCAAAGAGAGCA
RNAcentral lists this long non-coding RNA (4242 nucleotides) under Trifolium pratense (red clover). Its description in RNAcentral is "long non-coding RNA (TPRA_LNC003016)". Lineage: Eukaryota; Viridiplantae; Streptophyta; Magnoliopsida; Fabales; Fabaceae. The record is from RNAcentral.